AACCCAGACUCCUACGGGAGGCAGCAGUGGGGAAUAUUGCACAAUGGGGGAAACCCUGAUGCAGCGACGCCGCGUGAGUGAAGAAGUAAUUCGUUAUGUAAAGUUCUAUCAGCAGGGAAGAAAAUGACGGUACCUGAGUAAGAAGCCCCGGCUAACUACGUGCCAGCAGCCGCGGUAAUACGUAGGGGGCAAGCGUUAUCCGGAUUUACUGGGUGUAAAGGGAGCGCAGGCGGCGCGCCAAGUCUGAUGUGAACCCCCGGGGCUCAACCCCGGGCAUGCAUUGGAAACUGGCGGGCUGGAGUGCCGGAGAGGUAAGCGGAAUUCCUAGUGUAGCGGUGAAAUGCGUAGAUAUCAGGAGGAACACCGGUGGCGAAGGCGGCCUGCUGGACUGCGACUGACGUUGAGGCCCGAAAGCGUGGGGAGCAAACAGGAUUAGAUACCCGGGUAGA
Molecule: ribosomal RNA, 449 nt
Filed under: uncultured bacterium
Lineage: Bacteria
Description: partial 16S ribosomal RNA
Rfam family: Bacterial small subunit ribosomal RNA
Source: RNAcentral